GUUUUUAUUUCUGUAAUCUAGUUAAUGUGCUUUUAGACGAUCUCAUACCUAACAAACUAUACAGUUUUGUAGGCAGGUGAUGCUAAGGAGGGCGCUUCCAGAUGUGGUCCUGCCCUUUAAAUUUUGUUAUGUUCGUUUACUUUUACUUUUGUAUAGUUAUAUAUUUUCAUCUUAUCCAUUUAUAAUUUCAUUAUUUCGUUCACCUUAUCCAUUUAUGAUUUCAUUAUUUCAUUCUAGCUCCUCUAUUCUUUUGCUUUACAAAAUACCCUUCUCUCAUCUUUGGCUGGUCAUUGAUGUCUCUUUCGUAGUCUUGAUACAAAUUAACAAUGACAAUCAUCAUGUAAG
Molecule: long non-coding RNA, 345 nt
Filed under: Androctonus crassicauda
Lineage: Eukaryota; Metazoa; Arthropoda; Arachnida; Scorpiones; Buthidae
Source: RNAcentral